UACGAAGGGGGCUAGCGUUGCUCGGAAUCACUGGGCGUAAAGGGUGCGUAGGCGGGUCUUUAAGUCAGGGGUGAAAUCCCGGAGCUCAACUCCGGAACUGCCUUUGAUACUGGCGAUCUAGAGGUCGAGAGAGGUGAGUGGAAUUCCGAGUGUAGAGGUGAAAUUCGUAGAUAUUCGGAAGAACACCAGUGGCGAAGGCGGCUCACUGGCUCGAUACUGACGCUGAGGUGCGAAAGCGUGGGGAGCAAACAGG
RNAcentral lists this ribosomal RNA (253 nucleotides) under uncultured bacterium. Its description in RNAcentral is "partial 16S ribosomal RNA". It matches the Rfam family "Bacterial small subunit ribosomal RNA", at positions 524 to 776 of the family's 1533-position model. The record is from RNAcentral.